RNAcentral lists this ribosomal RNA (433 nucleotides) under uncultured bacterium. RNAcentral's name for it is "partial 16S ribosomal RNA". It matches the Rfam family "Bacterial small subunit ribosomal RNA", at positions 29 to 507 of the family's 1533-position model. The record is from RNAcentral.
AACGAACGCUGGCGGCAUGCCUAACACAUGCAAGUCGAACGAGACCUUCGGGUCUAGUGGCGCACGGGUGCGUAACGCGUGGGAACCUGCCCUUAGGUUCGGAAUAACUCCCCGAAAGGGGUGCUAAUACCGGAUAAUGUCUUCGGACCAAAGAUUUAUCGCCUUUGGAUGGGCCCGCGUUGGAUUAGCUAGUUGGUAGGGUAAAAGCCUACCAAGGCGACGAUCCAUAGCUGGUCUGAGAGGAUGAUCAGCCACACUGGGACUGAGACACGGCCCAGACUCGUACGGGAGGCAGCAGUGGGGAAUAUUGGACAAUGGGCGAAGGCCUGAUCCAGCAAUGCCGCGUGAGUGAUGAAGGCCUUAGGGUUGUAAAGCUCUUUUACCCGGGAUGAUAAUGACAGUACCGGGAGAAUAAGCACCGGCUAACUCCGUG